GUCCCGAGCCCAGCCUCUCCGGGGAGGAGGGACCCGGCGGCGCGGCGUGGGUCGGGAGCGGGCGCCUGGGACUACUUCUCGUUUGAAAGUUUUCAGAGGCCAAAAGUUUGAGCCGGGGCUGCGGAAGGAUCCGGCUCUGGCGGUUGCCGCGCUCGGCGACAACUGGCGACUGAAAUUUGCAUCAGAGAAGAGAGUGGCCCAUUCGGUGUCCACCCGUCAGGCCACCCAGCAGCCAGGCACGCUCAUAAGCCCGCGUUACGGAUGGUGCGGCCGGGUGCACAGGCCCGAGGGAAGCACAGGCCUCGGCCUCCCAGCUCCCAACCCCUGCACCACCCACAGCCGGGAGUACCCCAUGGACAGCUGUGGCCGAGGAGAAGCCAGGGAUGAGGGGGAUGGGCCUCACCUCCCCACCAGCCUGGGAAGGGGGUAGGCCCCUGGCAAGUAGGCCCCUCCUUUGCGGCUGCUGUGGGGACUUUCGAGAGCAGAGCACACCCCUAAGUGCGUGGAGAGGAGGGAAGCUGAGGCUCAGAGACAUCAUGAGGAUGCCAGCUCAAGGCCCAGCCAGGCCUUGGUCCUCAGCUGCUGUCAUCCAGUAGGGUAAGUGGGACCCCCAGGAGGUGUUGGGGGACACUCCUCCCCUCCCCCACACUCACAGUCUGUUCACCGCCCAAGGCAGCAGGCUGGACUCGGUGCAGGGACCAUGGCUUGGCGUGGCCAGGUUGGAGUGGCCCCUGGGACUGAAAGCAGGGGGCGUGGGGGCUCUGAGGCGGGGCCGAGUGCGGGGACGUCCUGUGGCGGGUACCCUGCUGGGUCCUGGGUGGGGGCCACCACCAGGCAGCUGUGGGAACAUUCCAGACCACCUAGGAGUAGGGCCCCUUCACCGUUUGAAGCUGACUGUAAAAAACAUCUGACCUGUGUGCAAAGCUCAAGCCCAGAGGCCUCCAGGGUGUCCAGCCUCCAGGGUGCCUCCUACGCAGCCUCCACGUCCCCAUCCACUGCAGCCCCUGACCAUCGGGCACACCGUGGGGCCUUCGCUGGCCGCCGGGCCUCAGGUUCUGCUGCACCAAGUGAUUUUUAAAGCCCCAUCUGCCUUUCUCCACUUAUAAAGAACUUGGGACAUU
RNAcentral lists this long non-coding RNA (1121 nucleotides) under Homo sapiens (human). RNAcentral describes it as "HSALNT0355426". The record is from RNAcentral. Lineage: Eukaryota; Metazoa; Chordata; Mammalia; Primates; Hominidae.